UACGUAGGUGGCAAGCGUUGUUCGGAAUUACUGGGCGUAAAGGGCUCGUAGGCGGCCAACUAAGUCGGAUGUGAAAUCCCCAGGCUUAACCUGGGAACUGCAUCCGAUACUGGAUGGCUUGAAUUCGGGAGAGGGAUGCAGAAUUCCAGGUGUAGCGGUGAAAUGCGUAGAUAUCUGGAGGAAUACCGGUGGCGAAGGCGGCAUCCUGGACCGAGAUUGACGCUGAUGAGCGAAAGCUAGGGGAGCAAACGGG
This 253-nucleotide ribosomal RNA is filed under the name uncultured bacterium. RNAcentral describes it as "partial 16S ribosomal RNA". It matches the Rfam family "Bacterial small subunit ribosomal RNA", at positions 524 to 776 of the family's 1533-position model. The record is from RNAcentral.